AUAAACAUCACAAAUAUUAAUUGUUGUACAAAUACAUUUGAUUAGUAUCGAUACAUUUAAAUUUUGAAUCCCUCUUAUCCUCGAAAUUGUUUGGGUUUUUUUUCUUCUGGCAGCUCCAAUAUAGAAUGUAUUUUUAUUUGGAAUUCAGUAUUUUCAUUUUUUUCAUUAAUCCCUGAUCCACCUCUUUCUUAAAACUGUUAUUUCUAUUAAUGGUCAGUAGUCGUAAACCUAUCAAAUGAUUCUAUUGAUUAACCACAAAGUACUGCCGACAUGUUCUCAAUUUGUAUCAGCAAGACACGUGCAUUUGCUUAUCAAACGUAUUAUCAUCAAAACUCAUUAACAGUUAUAGAUAUGUAAAUAUUUUCUUCUUCUCAUGUUUUCUAAUAUUAAGAAGUAAAACAAAAAA
RNAcentral lists this long non-coding RNA (406 nucleotides) under Mytilus galloprovincialis (Mediterranean mussel). The record is from RNAcentral. Lineage: Eukaryota; Metazoa; Mollusca; Bivalvia; Mytilida; Mytilidae.